RNAcentral lists this ribosomal RNA (492 nucleotides) under uncultured bacterium. RNAcentral's name for it is "partial 16S ribosomal RNA". It matches the Rfam family "Bacterial small subunit ribosomal RNA", at positions 29 to 507 of the family's 1533-position model. The record is from RNAcentral.
AGUGAACGCUGGCGGUAGGCCUAACACAUGCAAGUCGAACGGCAGCACAGUAAGAGCUUGCUCUUACGGGUGGCGAGUGGCGGACGGGUGAGGAAUACAUCGGAAUCUACUUUUUCGUGGGGGAUAACGUAGGGAAACUUACGCUAAUACCGCAUACGACCUACGGGUGAAAGCAGGGGAUCUUUGGCCCUUGCGCGAUUGAAUGAGCCGAUGUCGGAUUAGCUAGUUGGCGGGGUAAAGGCCCACCAAGGCGACGAUCCGUAGCUGGUCUGAGAGGAUGAUCAGCCACACUGGAACUGAGACACGGUCCAGACUCCUACGGGAGGCAGCAGUGGGGAAUAUUGGACAAUGGGCGCAAGCCUGAUCCAGCCAUACCGCGUGGGUGAAGAAGGCCUUCGGGUUGUAAAGCCCUUUUGUUGGGAAAGAAAAGCAGCAGGUUAAUACCCCGCUGUUCUGACGGUACCCAAAGAAUAAGCACCGGCUAACUUCGUG